UACGUAGGGUGCAAGCGUUGUCCGGAAUUAUUGGGCGUAAAGAGCUCGUAGGCGGCUUGUCGCGUCGGCUGUGAAAACCUGGGGCUCAACCCCGGGCCUGCAGCCGAUACGGGCAAGCUUGAAUUCGGUAGGGGAGACUGGAAUUCCUGGUGUAGCGGUGAAAUGCGCAGAUAUCAGGAGGAACACCGGUGGCGAAGGCGGGUCUCUGGGCAGUAACUGACGCUGAGGAGCGAAAGCGUGGGGAGCGAACAGG
This 253-nucleotide ribosomal RNA is filed under the name uncultured bacterium. Its description in RNAcentral is "partial 16S ribosomal RNA". It matches the Rfam family "Bacterial small subunit ribosomal RNA", at positions 524 to 776 of the family's 1533-position model. The record is from RNAcentral.